RNAcentral lists this ribosomal RNA (253 nucleotides) under uncultured bacterium. RNAcentral's name for it is "partial 16S ribosomal RNA". It matches the Rfam family "Bacterial small subunit ribosomal RNA", at positions 524 to 776 of the family's 1533-position model. The record is from RNAcentral.
UACGUAGGGCGCAAGCGUUGUCCGGAUUCACUGGGUGUAAAGGGUGCGCAGGCGGAUUGGCAAGUCAGAGGUGAAAUCUCACGGCUCAACCGUGAAACUGCCUUUGAUACUGCUUAUCUUGAGUUCGGGAGAGGUUGAUGGAAUUCCAGGUGUAGCGGUGAAAUGCGUAGAUAUCUGGAAGAACACCAGUGGCGAAGGCGGUCAACUGGCCCGCAACUGACGCUCAUGCACGAAAGCGUGGGGAUCAAACAGG